CCUACGGGUGGCAGCAGUGAGGAAUCUUGGUCAAUGGGCGGGAGCCUGAACCAGCAAAGUAGCGUGAAGGAUGACAGCCCUAUGGGUUUUAAACUUCUUUUAUAAGGGAAUAAAGUGCCCCACGUGUGGGGUUUUGUAUGUACAUUAUGAAUAAGCAUCGGCAAAUUCCGUGCCAGCAGCCGUGGUAAUCCGGAAGAUGCGAGCGUUAUCCGGUAUUAGUGGGAUUAAAGGGAGCGUAGGCGGUUCCAUAAGUCAGAGGUAAAAUCGUGCGGCGCAAACGUACCGUGUGGUGGAAACUGUGGAGCUUGAGUAUGCGCAGGGUACAUGGAAUUCGUGGUGUAGCGGUGAAAUGCUUAGAUAUCACGAAGAACACCGAUCGCGAAGGCAGUGUACCGGAACAAGACUGACGCUGAGGCUCGAAAGUGCGGGUAUCAAACAGGACUAGAUACCCUAGUAGUC
RNAcentral lists this ribosomal RNA (459 nucleotides) under uncultured bacterium. RNAcentral describes it as "partial 16S ribosomal RNA". It matches the Rfam family "Bacterial small subunit ribosomal RNA", at positions 338 to 795 of the family's 1533-position model. The record is from RNAcentral.